UAUUUUAUAUGUGCCUAGACAAAAUGUGCUCCUUGUCGUGUGCAGCAACCAUCCCAAACCCUCCGGACUCGUGUAACACCAUUAGUUCGCCGUGUGUUUCGAGCGAUCCACCAGUGUCGACAGUGAGUGCCCUAGUACAGCGCCCGUCCGAGCUGCCUUUGUUCUGCCGAGCUGCCUGCCCGCGCUCUCGUGAAAAAGUCUGGUACUGGGGCUUCGAAUCGUAGUGUAUGGAAGACUGUUGAAGGUUGUGCUUUUGUGGAGCUGGAGUUCAUCGGAAGUUCUACAGUGCUUGCGCCAGAGAAACUUCGGUACCUCUGUACCUGUUAGACGAAGGAGCGUUUGCCAAGUCUUGAAAGGUAGACAUCGGUGACGGUGUAUAUGUUGAAAAGGGCCUGCUGAAGAGGCUGUGCCUGGAUGCUAACAACUCAGGCUUUCACUUCGCUGAGGGCCUCCUUAAAGCUCCUUUUUUAAUAGAAGACGUUGAAGGGAGGUCCUUCUUUGGGCGGCUGUCAAAUGCCUUCCACAGAAGGAUCCGUUGGAUUCCAAGAAGGUCAACACCAUACUAGACUACACAACGCAACAUUUCAGACUACUUCCAGGGCAGCUGGAGAACUCGUCCUCAUUACUAUCCCGGGAAUAUUAAAUGGAUGUGUUCAAGCACAAA
Molecule: long non-coding RNA, 664 nt
Filed under: Dermacentor andersoni
Lineage: Eukaryota; Metazoa; Arthropoda; Arachnida; Ixodida; Ixodidae
Description: uncharacterized LOC126539996
Source: RNAcentral